GGAAUAUUGGACAAUGGGGGAAACCCUGAUCCAGCCAUGCCGCGUGUGUGAAGAAGGCCUUCGGGUUGUAAAGCACUUUAAGCAGGGAGGAAAGGGGCAAGACUAAUAAUCUUGUCAGUUGACGUUACCUGCAGAAUAAGCCCCGGCUAACUUCGUUCCAGCAGCCGCGGUAAUACGAAGGGUGCAAGCGUUAAUCGGAAUUACUGGGCGUAAAGCGCGCGUAGGCGGUUUGGUAAGUGUGAUGUGAAAGCCCAGGGCUCAACCUUGGAACUGCAUCACAUACUGUCAGACUAGAGUACGGGAGAGGGGGGUAGAAUUCCACGUGUAGCGGUGAAAUGCGUAGAGAUGUGGAGGAAUACCGGUGGCGAAGGCGGCCCCCUGGAUCGAUACUGACGCUGAGGUGCGAAAGCGUGGGGAGCA
Molecule: ribosomal RNA, 420 nt
Filed under: uncultured bacterium
Lineage: Bacteria
Description: bacterial SSU rRNA
Rfam family: Bacterial small subunit ribosomal RNA
Source: RNAcentral